CGACUGUUNAUUACCCUCCGACGAUCUACUCGCCGAUGUUCCAGUUACAUGCGCAUUUGAAUUUGAUUGAUUAAUACUGCUACCAGUAGCAGUCGUGCACAAAAAUCUAAAAUUAAUUGCAGCAAAAGCGGGGGGGAAAUCCGCUGUGAAAGGUCGAGAAUUUCCGGAAAGACUAUAAAAUGAGGGUUUAUUGAGACGGCAUUGAGCAGUAAGGGAGCCAUAGAUACUGCGAAGACGUAAGCUUCGAGAAAUUGACGAAGCCAUUGCUACUGGCAUUGAAAUCCUUCGUUUGAGGUUUUGGAAUUACUCGUUCCAAAGGUUAAGGGAGGUGUAUUGAUUUU
Molecule: long non-coding RNA, 341 nt
Filed under: Olea europaea subsp. europaea
Lineage: Eukaryota; Viridiplantae; Streptophyta; Magnoliopsida; Lamiales; Oleaceae
Source: RNAcentral